UACAGAGGGUGCAAGCGUUAAUCGGAAUUACUGGGCGUAAAGCGUGCGUAGACGGUUAUGUAAGUCAGAUGUGAAAGCCCCGGGCUCAACCUGGGAAUUGCAUUUGAGACUGCAUAGCUAGGGUGCGGAAGAGGGAAGCGGAAUUUCCGGUGUAGCAGUGAAAUACGUAGAUAUCGGAAGGAACACCAGUGGCGAAAGCGGCUUCCUGGUCCAGCACCGACGUUCAGGCACGAAAGCGUGGGGAGCAAACAGG
This 253-nucleotide ribosomal RNA is filed under the name uncultured bacterium. RNAcentral describes it as "partial 16S ribosomal RNA". It matches the Rfam family "Bacterial small subunit ribosomal RNA", at positions 524 to 776 of the family's 1533-position model. The record is from RNAcentral.